This 425-nucleotide ribosomal RNA is filed under the name uncultured bacterium. Its description in RNAcentral is "partial 16S ribosomal RNA". It matches the Rfam family "Bacterial small subunit ribosomal RNA", at positions 354 to 796 of the family's 1533-position model. The record is from RNAcentral.
GUGGGGAAUCUUGCGCAAUGGGCGAAAGCCUGACGCAGCCAUGCCGCGUGAAUGAUGAAGGUCUUAGGAUUGUAAAAUUCUUUCACCGGGGACGAUAAUGACGGUACCCGGAGAAGAAGCCCCGGCUAACUUCGUGCCAGCAGCCGCGGUAAUACGAAGGGGGCUAGCGUUGCUCGGAAUUACUGGGCGUAAAGGGAGCGUAGGCGGACAGUUUAGUCAGAGGUGAAAGCCGAGGGCUCAACCUUGGAAUUGCCUUUGAUACUGGCUGUCUUGAGUUUGGGAGAGGUGUGUGGAACUCCGAGUGUAGAGGUGAAAUUCGUAGAUAUUCGGAAGAACACCAGUGGCGAAGGCGACACACUGGCCCAAUACUGACGCUGAGGCUCGAAAGCGUGGGGAGCAAACAGGAUUAGAAACCCCGGUAGUCC